GUGACGUUAUCCAGGGUGCCGACUAUUUCGGCCCAAUACCCUUCGAAAUAGUAAUCGCUCUCUAAGUAAAUCCUGUCCGCCCAUUUCUCGUUCUCUUUGUAAAUCAGGUACGCCAGGCCCGUCUGAUCGUCCGACUCCGGGAACGCCUUGUCCUUGAACGUCGCCCGGAGCGUCUCCCCCCACUUCUCGUAGUCCGGCGUCUGCGGGCCCAUUCCGGCCCAGGCCUCGAGGAAGUCCAUGGACCACUGGCAGUUCCUGAUCAGAAACACGCCGGCGUUUAACCCCGUCCAGCUGUGGGUGUCCAGAAUCAAGUGGGCCCAGCCGUGAACGAUGAGGUUGUGGCUCCUGUACUUCUCUAACGGUAAUUUGAACUCCAUGUCGGUGAACAACGCGUCCGAGUCGACCCACCAGAUCCACUCGACUUCCGGGUGGGCCACCAUGGCGGCCCGGAUGACCGGAAUCUUGGCCCAGUAGCUCUUCAUUUCCGGGUGAAGGAACGCGUUGUUGUAGAACAAAUCGUGGCCGUGUAUUCUGCAGUAGUCCACUUUGUUCUUGAAGAAUCUCAGCAGCAAAUGAUCGCCGAUAGGAUUCUUACACGCGGACGGCUGCGAUCCCGUCACCAUGAGAAUCCGUUCAGCUGCUCCGGCGCCGAAUGAAGGAUGAUGCAGUAGCCACUGGCUCCGCUUCUCGUCCCAGUUUUUAACGGGGUUGCCAAUAGAGUAGGUCAGCUCCGGGUCGUCGUAGAAGGUCCGGUCGGGCGGGUCGGACUGUAAACUCGGACCCGGGUCGGAAUGACGAACCGAAUUGGACCGGGGCGGAGUGACGGUACGCCCGAAAUUGGGGGCGGAAGUGGAGUUGGGGUGUAUGAAGGACCAUAUAGUGAUGAGGAGUAAAAGAGCGAGAAAUGCGCCGCCGAGGAAGAGAAGGCCGUCG
RNAcentral lists this long non-coding RNA (933 nucleotides) under Rosa chinensis. RNAcentral describes it as "sRNA RchiOBHm_Chr2g0108391". The record is from RNAcentral. Lineage: Eukaryota; Viridiplantae; Streptophyta; Magnoliopsida; Rosales; Rosaceae.